GAGUUCGAUCCUGGCUCAGGAUGAACGUUGGUGGCAUGCUUAACACAUGCAAGUCGGACGGGAAGUGGUGUUUCCAGUGAUGGACGGGUGAGUAACGCGUAAGAACCUGCCCUUGGGAGGGGAACAACAGUUGGAAACGGCUGCUAAUACCCCGUAGGCUGAGGAGCAAAAGGAGGAAUUCACCCGAGGAGGGGCUCGCAUCUGAUUAGCUAGUUGGUGAGGCAAUAGCUUACCAAGGCGAUGAUCAAUAGCUGGUCCGAGAGGAUGAUCAGCCACACUAGGACUGAGACACGGCCCAGACUCCUACGGGAGGCAGCAGUAGGGAAUUUUUCGCAAUGGGCGAAAGCUUGACGGAGCAAUGCCACGUAGAGGGAGAAGGCCUACGAGUCGUGAACUUCUUUUUCCGAAGAAGAAGCAAUGACGGUAUCUGGGGAAUAAGCAUCGAUUAACUCUGUGCCAGCAGCAGCGGUAAUACAGAGGAUGCAAGCGUUAUCCGGAAUGAUUGGGCGUAAAGCGUCUGUGGGUGGCUUUUUAAGUUCGCCGUCAAAUCCCAGGGCUCAACCCUGGACAGGAGGUGGAAACUGCCAAGCUGGAGUAUGGUAGGGGCAGAGGGAAUUUCCGGUGGAGCGGUGAAAUGCGUAGAGAUCAGAAAGAACACCAACGGUGAAAGCACUCUGCUGGGCCGACACUGACACUGAGAGACGAAAGCUAGGGGAGCGAAUGGGAUUAGAUACCCCAGUAGUCCUAGCCGUAAACGAUGGAUACUGGGCGCUGUGCGUAUCGACCCAUGCAGUGUUGUAGCUAACGCGUUAAGUAUCCCGCC
RNAcentral lists this non-coding RNA (823 nucleotides) under Ricinus communis (castor bean). RNAcentral describes it as "Bacterial small subunit ribosomal RNA". It matches the Rfam family "Bacterial small subunit ribosomal RNA", at positions 9 to 873 of the family's 1533-position model. The record is from Rfam by way of RNAcentral. Lineage: Eukaryota; Viridiplantae; Streptophyta; Magnoliopsida; Malpighiales; Euphorbiaceae.